This 468-nucleotide ribosomal RNA is filed under the name uncultured bacterium. RNAcentral describes it as "partial 16S ribosomal RNA". It matches the Rfam family "Bacterial small subunit ribosomal RNA", at positions 28 to 507 of the family's 1533-position model. The record is from RNAcentral.
GACGAACGCUGGCGGCGUGCUUAACACAUGCAAGUCGAACGGAAAGGCCCUGCUUUUGUGGGGUGCUCGAGUGGCGAACGGGUGAGUAACACGUGAGUAACCUGCCCUUGACUUUGGGAUAACUUCAGGAAACUGGGGCUAAUACCGGAUAGGAGCUCCUGCUGCAUGGUGGGGGUUGGAAAGUUUCGGCGGUUGGGGAUGGACUCGCGGCUUAUCAGCUUGUUGGUGGGGUAGUGGCUUACCAAGGCUUUGACGGGUAGCCGGCCUGGGAGGGUGACCGGCCACAUUGGGCCUGAGAUACGGCCCAGACUCCUACGGGGGGCAGCAGUGGGGAAUAUUGCACAGUGGGCGGAAGCCUGAUGCAGCAGCGCCGCGUGCGUGAUGACGGCCUUCGGGUUGUAAACCGCUUUCGCCUGUGACGAAGCGUGAGUGACGGUAAUGGGUAAAGAAGCACCGGCUAACUACGUG